AUGGUGCUGGGGCAGGCCCAGACUCCCACCCUGACAGCAGGCCCGUUUCCAAAAACUCUGCUCACUUCCUCAUCCUGCUGGCUCGUGAGAAGAUCCUGUUGUCAGCUCUGCCAACCAGCACAGCAGAGGUGGGAUUGUUGCGGGCAGUUGGAAGAGAGCAGGGGAAUAACCGUUUCCCGCUUUGGCUGUUAUUUGUUGAGAAAUGCUGUCUGGUGAGUGUUGAGUCAGGGCCUGAAGCACUGAUGGAGCAUCUGGGGAAAGGACCCAGUCAGCCCUGGGAGCCCAGGUGAGGGCAGUUCAGUUGUAUGAUGGAAUGAGUGGAGCCUGGCUGCCCCUCUCUUAGACCUCACUGAAGGGCUGACCCUGCACUGGGCCAGGAUCUCUGGUUGGAGAUCCCUCCCUUGUGGAGUUUUCCCUGUGAGCCUGGAUCUUCAGGGACAGACGUCCUCUGCCCCUUCCCACCUGUAAAGCAAACAAGGCGAUGACAGAGCCUUGAUUUGAGAUAGAGGAGCUAUAGAACAGGAUAUCAAAGAAAGAGGAAUCGACUCAUCCCUCCCAGCUACAAUUUGGCAGAAAGUGGUGAGCUGAGGAAUGCAGCCUUCUGCGUUUGAACUGCGGUGUGCUGAAAGGUGAGAGGGGGCUGAGGGGUGGGGGGGGAGAGCUGUGCAGACUGACUGUGUGUGUGCUGCUGGGAGCACUGCUGAGAUGGAGAGAGAGGAAGGCUCCCCCGCUCGAGGUACUCGUGUGCUCACGCAGUGGUUCAGGCUGUGACCUGGCAAUUCCACUGCACCACCCGUCCUGCACUGUCCAUGUGCCACCUGCAGGUGUUGCCCAGCUUUUGGGGGACUUGCUGUGACCUCCCUGUCUCAGCACUGCCUUGUGCUCUGGACUUCACAGCACCUUGAUGGUGACAUUGUGCUUCCCAAGGAGUGCGUGGACCUUUCUGAUGGGAGUGAGCAGCAAGGAACCGACUGAAUCACAGAAUCAUGGAAUCACAAGGUUGGAAAUGACCUGUAAGAGUCUCAGCUAUAGAGGUCUUAUAAGGGUCUCAGCUUCCUUCCUGCCCUGUGCUUGACUGAGGGACCCUGCAACCAGCUCACGAGGUGGCCAUGGGCCCAGCUCUGCCAGCUUUCACUGCAAAAGGGAGCAGUUCAGGGAUAGACACAGCCUGGGUGGGUCUGAGCUUGACUCUAGCAUCUGAGGGAGCUGUGGACAUCAGCUGUGGACACGACUCAUCGAGGUGUGGGUCAGCUGUGGAUGCUCAGUGUUCUUAAGCAGCCCAGCUGUAUCUCCAAGGCUUGUAGUCACAAUUUCUCUGCGAGGCUGAGAUACCCUGAGGAUCAUGGCGUCUCUCAUUUUGCUCUCCUGCCCUUGCUCACAGUCUCUGAGGAACGACUUGAGCCCUGUGACCACGUCCUUGCUCGUGUGCUGGAGUCACUUUUGUGCAUUUUGGUGUCAGAGCUCUUGGGGCAAAACGUGCCUGGACACUGCCACACGUGUAAUGCCUUUCUGCGGUGCACACUGGAGGAUGUUUUGGAUGCUGCUCUCCAGCACCCCUUUCGGAGCAGCCAGUGUGCUUCCCAUGGAUGCUUGCUGCUGCCCUGAGCCCUUUAUAACCUCAGUAGCCCCUGCUAUAAGGCAGCAUACUUGAGAACUAA
Tympanuchus pallidicinctus (lesser prairie-chicken) is the source of this 1658-nucleotide long non-coding RNA. RefSeq lists it as uncharacterized. The record is from RefSeq and is a predicted model, not a curated record. The transcript is spliced from 3 exons. Lineage: Eukaryota; Metazoa; Chordata; Aves; Galliformes; Phasianidae.